GGGGAUGUUUUUGGAUUUGCUAGUAUCAAUUAAUUUUAUAAAGCAUAUCUUGGUUAUGCAAGUAAAAACAUCGAGGUUUUAAAUAAACGACGAAAAUAAUAAAUCAUUACAAGAUAAUGGAGCUUUAAUAAAUUCUAUAAAUAAUUAUUAUCCAACAUUAAAUUCUAGAAUGAGUUCAGCUUUUUUAUCAUAAAAAUAAUUUUUUAAAAUUAUUACAAUAUAUUUUUAUGUUUUGAAAAAAUAAAAUAAAUAUAUAGAUAUAAAAUAAUAUAUUUAUUUUAUUAAGAGUUAUUUUAAUUUUUUAUUAUCUCUUUAAAAUUUAUUAUUUAUUAAUAAAUUAUAGAAAAAAUAAAAACUAUAAUUUAAAAUUAAUAACAAUUUAAAGACUAUUAAUUUAAUAUUUUUGUUUUUUAUAUUAAAUUAUAAAAAUUUUAAAAAAACUAAAUAUGUAGAAAAUAUAAAAAAGAUUGAUAUUAUACAUGGGUUCGAAUCCCAUCAUCUCCACCA
RNAcentral lists this non-coding RNA (507 nucleotides) under Candidatus Phytoplasma mali. Lineage: Bacteria; Bacillati; Mycoplasmatota; Mollicutes; Acholeplasmatales; Acholeplasmataceae. The record is from RNAcentral.